UAACAAUAGCAUACGCGUGGUUUCAUCUCCGAUGUGGAGAGCUCUCCGCGUUUUAGGUCCACACACGUCCAAGGUGGACGUUCUCCUCUAGCGUGGCUUCUCCUCAGGAAGGGUGCAUGUGCUCCUCUCUGCUUUCGUCGCCAGCUAUCUUUUCUCGCGAUUCCUUCACGCAAGCUCCCUUUUUCACGGAUUUGGUUGAUCAGGUAAUCAUCAAAUCGAACCCUAGCCCCUUUGUCUUCAUCUCCUAAUUUCCUUUCCUCUGCCCUACCAAACGUUGUCUACAGCCUCUAUUUCUUGGGACUUUGCUUCCCCGUCUUUCAUCACAGGUUAGGGAUUUUCCCAUAGAGUCUCAAAUUGAAAAUCUGCAAUCAAUCAAUCAGGUAUGGGAUUUCUACCUAAUCUACUUCCUCAGUGGUGAUGUGAUUGCCAGAGUUUUCUAGCAAACUGUUGCAUAGACAUAAAGUUGUUUGCCCUGCAUUUAAUAGCUUCAUUGAGAAAAGAAUGGGCUUUGUGACACUAAGAUGGCAUCACCGUACUGUUUGUCUAACUAGCAAAUCCCCUCCUUCAAAGAGAAAUCCAUGGAGCAGGUUAUCUUCCCUUGAAAAUGUCUUCUGCACACUUAAUCAUGUUCUGCCAUAUAUUCUUCAUUGAAAAUGUGGGAAUCCUUAUCAAGGUAUGGGGUUUCUAUCUAAUCUAUUUCAUGAGUGGUGAUGUGAUUGACAGGAAUUGAUUGAUAGGUUCUUGGUCAUUUCUUUGCAUUUUGAUGAAACCUUUGGUUAGUCAACUCAAUUGCAUUUCAUUUUUUAAUUGGUUAUGCAAAAACUAUUGUAUAUUUCACCUCUUGCAUAGAACUAUAGUUGUUGGCCUGAAUUUAAGAGCUUCAUUGAGAAAGGAAUGGGCUUGUGCCACUAAAAUGGCAUCACGGUACUGUUUGUCUAACUAGCAAAUUCCUUCUUCCUAAGAGAAAUCCAUCCAGCAGGUUAUCUUCCCUUGAAAAUGUCCUCUGGACACAUAAUCAUGUUGUGCCAUAUAUUCUUCAUUGUAAAUGUGGGAAUCAUUAUCAAGGUAUGGGGUUUCUAUCUAAUCUAUUUUAUGAGUGGUGAUGUGAUUGACAGGAUUUUAUUGAUGUGUGCCUAUAAUUUUUUUCACAUUCAUUUGCUGUUUGGAACCUAUGUUUACCUAAUACAUUUACCAACUCUCAUUGCCAUGAGUAGAAUCAGUAUUUGGGGUAGUUGAUGACUGCCUUCCCUAUGGUCUAAUGAUAUGUAGGUGCACUGUAUUAGGCAUUGUGUGAUAUCUUCUUUUUUGGUCCCUAUUCCUUGAAUUCUUCAAACUUUGACUGGUUUUUUUUUGUUUUUUUGUUUUUGUUUUUUUAUCAUAUUUUCAUCGUGUGAUUAGUUCUCCCUAUGCCAUUGAAUGGAGAUGCAUAUGGACUGGGGUUUUCUUUUCCCUCCAUUUCCAUGUUCAAUUUGAAUUCAAAAAGGUGAGUCUUAUGCCCUGAAUUUUUUCUAUAAAAGGAUGGUUGGUGAACCACAUUCAAUGCACAGGUAUUCUGUUGUCUUCUAUUUUCUCCUAGGCUAUGUUUAUUCCAUAUAUUCUGUGUUUAUAUCUUCAUCUAUUUGAUAUGAUUUCUAAGAUGCAUCCUCGUAGAGAGGCUUGGAGGCUGAAAGUUAGGGUUCUAAGGCUUUGGGUUGUGCCCUCUUUUGGUAACCAUGAGGUUCCUAACUCAAUGGAGAUGAUUCUCCUUGAUAAGCAUGUUAGUUCCUUUUAGCUACUGUUUUAAAUAUGGUGUUAGUUGUUCUUUUUAAGUUUUCAACUUAAAAUUAUGUUUUUCACUAAUCUGAUUUUUUUUGUUGCAUUUCCAGUGUGAAAAAAUUCAAGCUACAGUUAAGAAACAACUUAAUAGGUUUAGGAUCAUAUAGUUGAAGGUCAAGUUUAUAGAAUGGCAUACUUUACUGUAGUGUCAAAUCAUGGUAGUAAUAGAGUAACUUCUCAUGAAUUCAAACUAGUUUUCCUUCACCAAACCACUGUUGUUCCUGUUGAUGAAGAUGUUAUUCCAAAGACUUAUUUCAACAUGUUUCCUUUUUCUGAGCUGCUGAACAUGACCCAAGAUUAUGAUUUUUUGGUUGGUAUGUAUAUCAUUGUGCUAUUCUUUUAUUCAAGUUUUUUUAAUGAAUUGUUUGAAUAUUUAGUAGGUUGUGUUUAUUUGGAACAAAUGUCAUUGGUCUUUUAACUUCGGUGGGAAAAGAAAAAGAAUAUGCAAAAGAGGGGAAAUCGUGAUGUCUAAUAUUUUAUUUUUGUUAUUUUAAUCUUUAGGCCAAAUUCUAAUUUGAUGUCUAAUAUUUUAAAUAUUUUAUUUUAGUCCAAAAUAAUUUUGGACGAGUUUAAUAUUAUUUCACUCUUAAAUUUGAUACAAAUUCUUUGUGUUAGAAAAGCAUAAUAAGCAAAAGUUUUUUGUAAUGCUUUUUUUUUUCUGUACAAGAUAUCUCAAACAACUAACCAUCAAUCAUCAGUACUCCAAAAUCAACUAAAUUGUGAGUACUCUGGGUAACCUGAUAGUUUCUGGAAUAUAAUGUGGUUUCAUAUUCGAUGUGGAGAGCUCUUCGCGUUUCUGGCCCGCAAACAUCCAAGGUGAACGUUCUCCUCCAACGUGGCUUCUCCUCAGGAAGGGUGUAACUGCUCCUCUCUGUUUUCGUCGUCAGCUGUCUUUUCUUGCGAUUCCUUCACGCAAGCUCCAUUUUUCAUAUAUUUUGUUUUUAUGUAUUUCAUAUUUAAUUGUUUCAAAAUA
Molecule: non-coding RNA, 2788 nt
Organism: Arachis ipaensis
Lineage: Eukaryota; Viridiplantae; Streptophyta; Magnoliopsida; Fabales; Fabaceae
Source: RefSeq, a predicted model, not a curated record